GAUGGACGCUAGCGGGAGGCCUAACACAUGCAAGCCGAGCGGUAUUGUUUCUUCGGAAAUGAGAGAGCGGCGUACGGGUGCGUAGCACGUGUGCAACCUGCCUUUAUCUGGGGGAUAGCCUUUCGAAAGGAAGAUUAAUACUCCAUAAUAUAUUGAACGGCAUCGUUUAAUAUUGAAAGCUCCGGCGGAUAGAGAUGGGCACGCGCAAGAUUAGCUAGUUGGUGAGGUAACGGCUCACCAAGGCGAUGAUCUUUAGGGGGCCUGAGAGGGUGAUCCCCCACACUGGUACUGAGACACGGACCAGACUCCUACGGGAGGCAGCAGUGAGGAAUAUUGGUCAAUGGGUGCAAGCCUGAACCAGCCAUCCCGCGUGAAGGACGACUGCCCUAUGGGUUGUAAACUUCUUUUGGAUAGGGAUAAACCUACACUCGUGAGGGUAGCUGAAGGUACUAUACGAAUAAGCACCGGCUAACUCCGUG
RNAcentral lists this ribosomal RNA (479 nucleotides) under uncultured bacterium. RNAcentral describes it as "partial 16S ribosomal RNA". It matches the Rfam family "Bacterial small subunit ribosomal RNA", at positions 28 to 507 of the family's 1533-position model. The record is from RNAcentral.